Molecule: unclassified non-coding RNA, 229 nt
Filed under: fungal sp.
Lineage: Eukaryota; Fungi
Description: partial internal transcribed spacer region
Rfam family: Eukaryotic small subunit ribosomal RNA (bases 1-46)
Source: RNAcentral
AAGUCGUAACAAGGUUUCCGUAGGUGAACCUGCGGAAGGAUCAUUACCAAUAUUUUCAAAUUUCAACCCAUGUGCACGGUGAAUUUAUUGUCCUGGUUUUUGGGGUGUUCUUCUUAACGAGGUUCACCCCAACCAUUUUGUUAAACUACUGUUUAUAUUUUUCAUGGCAUUGUAAUCGUCUUAAUAAAUAUGACAACUUUUAACGGUGGAUCUCUUGGCUCGUGGAUCG